GUUUUAUUACAUUCAAUAUCUUACACAUUUUUAUUAGUGUCAUUGCAGCUUCUUUGUGAACAAAACCUAUUCAUUCAUUAAUAAACAGAGAAAAACAUCACAUCCAUGAGAUCUUCCCAAAUAGCAGUUUCAAGUCUUUAGGAGAUAUUGGUUUUAAUACAAGGUGAAUUUAUUUAAAUAUUAGACGUAUGCAUUGAAACAUGUAUCUAAACGUAAUGUAAAUGCAAACAGUAAGUGUUUGUUUAGAUUGAAUGAAUCAUCUCUGAGAAUGGAUAAGGCACACCUGAUGGCUUUUAGGUAACCAGUAGAACAUUUAGAUUUUUUUGUUUUUGUCGAAGAAAAAUAUCAUUAGAAAUCCCAGAAAUAUCCUCACGGACCUUCAAACACAAUAAUAGUUUUUUUCUCUUACCAAAUCAAUGCAUGAAAAGCUAACAUAAUCAGGCAACCAGGCAAAUAAAAAGCAGCGAAGAACAUAAACAACAAAACAUUUAAAAAACAACAAACAACCACAACUAAAGAAUCAUUCACUCCAGUCCAGUUGCCAGGGAAACAAAGCUAACAUCAAGGCCUGAGGCUUACAUUAGAGCACCUCAUAUACACCCUGGCAUGGCUGUAUUCUGAGACCCUACAGGCACCAGGAAGACGACUGUUUCAGGCCCUCUUCCCCCCCGCGUUGGGCAGACUGGAGGCUUGUUUGUGGUAGCAGUCCGGGGGGCUAGUGUUCAUGCCUGUAGGGACGUAGUACAUGCUAUCCAGGUAGCUCUGGUCCAGAGGUGCAUGACUCUGGGGCUCCGGCUUGGACCCCUGGCUCCCGGGGCUCCCAUAGCCGACCUGAGCGCCAUUCUGGUGCAUCGUCCCUGGGACUGGAGCCUCUGGGUGGCGGGGUGGCUGGGGCUGGGGAUGAGGUGCAGGAGGAGGGGGGCCAUAGGGGAGGUACUGGGGGGCUGGGGCAUAUAUAUUGGGGUUGUGGAUGGAAGAGUAGGGGGCCGCUGAGGCAGUGGAGUAGGGAGCGGCCAAAGGAGGGUAAAGUCCUGAGUGAGACAUGGUACUCUGAGGGAUGAGCACCUCCACGUACUGGCCCGUCUCUGGAUCAAACAGCAUCUUCCUCAGUGGCUGCACAGGCACCUCAAUGUAGAAAUACUUCCCCGUGUCAGGAUCCAUGAGGACCCUGCGAGGGGUUUGCCCGUACCCCAGACCACCUGUACUGUCUGGGUAGUCAGACCCAGACAGACUCCCAUAAUCAGAUCCAUAGGAUGGCCCUAGGCUCUGUGAGCUGCACAAGUACUGAGGGUCCAUAGGGGGCAGGUUGGGAGAGUGGCUGUGGUCACUGUAGGGGCCCCCGGAGACAGAUGGCUGGCCCUGGGGGGAGCGGUGGAGAGUGGGGGCCCGGCGGGGUUCCAUGUGUUGGGGGUGCUGGAGAGGGCGGUCAGCCAGGCAGGGCUGGAGUAUGGAGGGGUGGGGUUGGUGGAGGGACUGGUACAUGCCUGGAGGGGGCUGAGUGGGGCUGGGGAGGUUGGAUGAUUUGGGAGAGCUGGGCUGGUAGCCGAUUGAUCUCAGAGAAUGGGGAUCCGCUCUGCACUGGUGUAGGCGGAGAGGAGGUUGACCAGGGGAGUGGGAGGGGGAGGGGAAGGGAGGGGUGUGGGGGGAGUGGUGGUGGUGAUGGGGUGUAAGGCCGUGGGAGGGGCAGCCAGAGGUGCAGGAGCAGGGAGGGGGACGGGAGGAGGCAGAGGAGAAGGGAGAGGAGGGGUGGUAGCGGUUCAGCUUCCUCUGGGGCAGGUCAGGUAGGUGGAGGGGGCUGAACCUCUCUCUCUCGUCAUAACUAGGGGGGUCAUCUGAUGCGUAGAAACGCAGGUCGUCUGCCCUCUGCGAGUGGUCGCUAGACAAGGAUCUGUGUAUGGGCUGCUGUGUGUGUAUGUGGUGUGUGUAUACGGGAGCCUGUGUGUUUGUGGAUACCGUGGCAGGUUGGUUUGUAUUGUUGAAGGUAACCGGCAUAGUUUGCUCCUGAGGGUAUGCUGUUUUUGUUUUUGGAUGCUGCAGGUGGUUGGUUAUAUCCACAUCAGCUGACUGGCUUGAGUGUAUGGCAGGGGAAUUGGUAGGGACUUGGGCAGGGGCAUGGGUAGGGACUUGGGCAGGAUCUGGGGCAGCAGGGGCUUGGUUCGGAGCUGGGGCUGGAGCUGGGGCUGAGACUGUGAGGGUUGUGGGUCUCUGUGUGUAGCUGGGGGCCUCUCCUUGUCCCUGGGUUGAGGCCUCUGGUUGCUUUGGCCUUUCAUUGGAUGUCUCUGUGUCUACUGUUGUUGAUGGUGGUUUGUGAGAGAAACUAGCGAUGAUUGUUGUUUUGGUAGGUGAAGGCCUGUAGCUAGACACUGCAGAAACUGAUAACUUUUUAUUGUAGUUAGACGCUGGGGUCGAAUUAUUCGAUAGAUGUCUGUGGAUAGUCGUAGCUGAAGUUGAUGGUUUCUCAUUGUUCACAGGUCUCUCCUCUUCUGUGUUCUGUUUGAAGGUUGAUGUUGGUGCUUCCACGGAUUUCUGCUGUAUUUCAUUGGACAGUGAAUUUGCAUCUGUCGGUUUGAACUUUGGUUUCAGUGCCAGUGGCGGACCGUUGGAUAUUGAGUGAACCUCUAUAGCUUGCGGUCUGGUGUUUGACGUGAUGUUCUUCUCUUGUUUAUCUUGUUUAUGUAUUUCUUUGGACAACGACCUCACCUCGAUCACUUGUGGUCUGUAUCUUCUCAUCAGUGCUGGUGAGCCUGGUAGCGAGCCUGGUAACUUAGGUGAGUAGGUUGAUUUCUUCACCGUCUCUUUUUCAGCAGUGUCUUCCUGUGUUUUCUUCUGUGAGGGUGGUGGUGAUGAUGUCGUGCGUUGCUCUAUGUCUCUGACCGUGGCUCUGACACUAACCCUCUCCUGAUUCGAAGGGGUCCUAACACUGUCUUCCGUUUGAGCAGAGUCUCUUCGAAGCCCGGGAGAAUUUGGGGCCGAAUGGGUAUGUGAGGAAGAGGCUGAUGCAUUGACGGAAGAUGAGGAAAAGGAUGAGGCUGAAGUUGAUGCAUUGACAGAGGUCGAGGAGAAGGAUGAGGUUUCUUUCACAGUGCUUGAGGAUGAUACGGAUGAGGCUGCUUUCACAUAGGAUGAAGAAGAGGACGAGUAAGUUCUCUGUCUGUGUGAGUCACUCGUACCCCCAUCUGAGGGUCCACGGGUCUGAAGAGGGAUCUCUAUUUGGUUGAUAUGUUUCCCUGGGACGCCUCCACCUCCACCCCCACCUUCACGCCCACUCCUUGUUAUGGCCUCUGACACAGCCUCAGAGACCAAAGACCCAAUAUCUGCCUGGUAGCCCUUCUCCUUCACCAGUAUGGACACAGAGUGGCUGGGGGUAGGGGUCUUGAUGGGGACAGUGGAAGGUGGAGUGCCUAGAACUGGGGAUGAAGCUGGUGCUGGAGGAGAAGCUGGGGCUGGCGAAGCUUUGGGACCAAGUGAGGGUGAGGAGGCCAGGAUUGGAGCUGGGGCUGGGAAUGCUGGAGCUGGACCUGGGGAACAGGCAGGAACUAAGGCUGAGAAUGACUUGGGCUUAUUAGAUCCAUCCUGUAGCACCAGAGAAGCACAAGACACUCUUCUGUCUUUACUGGGGAGUUUAGGGCUGCUGCCCAGCAUAGGUGGCUUGGUAUCUCUUCUCACCACUUCAGGUUUGUCACUAGCCUCUGAUAUACUUCGGUGUCUCCUGGUUACUCUCAGUGACUCUGUUUCACUGGGUUUCACCUUGGUGUUGCUUGGUUCUGUUUUGACAGUGUCCUUUACAGGGGUCUUGUGUUGGUUUGACUCUGUCUCUGUCACAGCUACUUCCUCUGUUGCGCAACUCUUAGGUGCUACAUCAGAGAGGUUCCGGGGUCCUUUGGACACCGGCUUAGGUUCGCCUCUAGACGUUUCUCUCUCUGUUUUGUUGGACAUUGUUGUUGUUUUGUUUUUGUUUUCUCUCCAGCUGAUAGCUUUGAAUUCCAUCUGCAUCGGCUUUUCCUCUUUCUGGAGAGAUAUUGGGUGAGGUGGUAGCUUGUCCUCUUUCUGAAGAGAUAUUGGGUGAGGUGGUAGCUUUUCCUCUUUCUGAAGAGAUAUUGGGUGAGGUGGUAGCUUGUCCUCUUUCUGAAGAGAUAUUGGGUGAGGUGGUAGCUUUUCCUCUUUCUGAAGAGAUAUUGGGUGAGGUGGUAGCUUUUCCUCUUUCUUCUCUUCUCUCCUUACUAUUGUCUCUUCAUACCUCCCCUCUUUCCUUUCCACUCUGUCAUCUUUCUUCUCUUCCCUCCUUUCCUCCUUCCUUUCCUCUUUUCUCUCCUCCCUCCUUUCCUGUCUCGGUUCCUCUCCCCUCUCCUCACUCCUCUCCUCCUUCUCUGGUGCUGGCAUGGCCUUGAACGACAGGUUGUAUGUGUUUUUCACCAGCCUUCUCACAUCUCUCACUUUGUGCAUGGGAGCUUUGGCUUUACUGUUCCUAUUGGCAUCCAUAUUCACCAUCUGUUCAUUCAUCUUGUUCAAGGUAUUCACCCCCUUCUCUUCUUCUCUUGUUACUCUAUGUGAAGUCCCUAUUCUCCUGUCUUCCUCUCUGGUUUCUGCAUGUGAAGUCUCCACUGUCCUGUCUUCUUCUGUUGUUUCUCUCUGACAGGUCUUCCCAGGGGAGGCAGUCUCGUGGUUACCCUCAGGUUUAGUUUCUAUCUCGGGCAACAGUGAGAUGUUGAGAGAAGAGGUUUUCUUUAUCUCUGUAACAGGGCUGGGUUUCAGAGUGAUCUCUGGUGUUUUGGACAUGUAGGUGCUCUUGACACUCGGAUGUUUAUGGUUUAAAGAGUCAGAGGGGUAUUCCAGCUUUGUGUUUGUCAUUCCUGCCUGCGUGCUGCUGGCUCGGGUGGCAGUGGGAACGCUGGUGUUCCGGGCAGCUGCAUCUGCUGAGUCACCUGCCUGUUUGUAAUCCCUCUCAUCCCUCCAUUUACUGUCAUCCCUCUCAUCCCUCCAUUUACUGUCAUGUGUCUGCUUACCCCCCAUAUUGGCAUUCUUCUCUGUGGGUUUUUUACUCUCAAACGGGAACACCAGUUCAGACCUCAUCUCUGGUUUGACCGGGUCAGUUCUCCAAGAGUUUGGGUUUCUGGCAGGAGACUCAGUUCUGUCGCUGUUUCUCUGAGGACAAUUAGUAGUAGGGGGCUCAGAUCUCAUCCAAGGGCUAACAUGGUUAGGGCUUCUGUUGCUGUGAGAUUCAAUUCUCUCGUUGCUUCUCUGAGGAAAGGUAACAGGAGCAACAUGUGCGUUGGGACUCAUCUCAGGGGUUGUGCUGGUAGGUUCAGGCCUCUCGUUGCUUCUCCGAGGAAAGGUAACAGGAGCAACAUGUGCGUUGGGACUCAUCUCAGGGGUUGUGUUGGGAGGUUCAGGCCUCUUGUUGCUUCGCUGUAGAGAAGUGGAGUCAGUAUUAAUAGUAUGGUUCAUUCGUCUAACACUGGAUUUCACCCCAAAACUUCCAUGUUGUCUGUUUACGUCAGUGUUUGGACUGGUCUCUCUUCUCACAGCCAGGUGCUCAGAAGAAAAACUGUUUCGUGAGUUUAUGCUGGAACUCAGAUUCCGUGUCUCUGGUUUUGUGGACUCUUUAAGGGUUGACGCCUCACUAUCAGGGGGAAGAGGGGUUUUGUCCUCAGAGGGGCUGAGGUCACCUCCUUCUCCUUCCUGGUCAGUUGGUUUACCAACAUUCUGCAUCUUCUUGGAGAGGAUGUUGUUGAUCAGGCAGGUGGCCAUCUUGGUUUUGGUACAUGUCUCGUCCAGGGACAAAGACUUCUGGAGCUUGCCAUUUCUCUUGGUCUGCUCAGUCCUCUCGGUGGCAGGUUCAGGGCUGGGUUCCGGGCAGUAGGCUUCCUGCAAGGCCGGAGGAGUGCUGUGUUGUCUCUGCAACGUCUCUCUGCUGUGUCUCUUUAGAGAGGUACUGUCCAUCGGAACAAUAGAAGCCACAGGAGCCACAGGAACCAUUACAGGACUAGGAACCAUGAUGGGACUACCAUUGCUGUUCUCACCCAUCUUCAGCUCGGCCGUAUUCCUUCUCUUCAGCUGGAUCUGUCUCUUGGGCACUCCUCUCCUCACCUUCUUGGGCUCCUCUCUCUCCACAGCCACGUCCACACACUCAAAGCUGCCCAUCUCACAUUUUUUGGAUGAGUCCAGGUCGUCAUGGGGUGGAUAAUAAGCCCCAGAGGAGGGCUGCUGCUGCUGCUGGCGUGGGACUGGGAAGUCUUCAUUGUCCAGCUGUGGAACAGACCCUCUGAGGUCAGCAUAGGCCAGCCAGGCUGCAUUAGCCCCCGCUGGGCUGUCCUGGGUGGAGGGCUGGGAGGCUCCAGUGGAGGAGCGGUGGCUGGAGUUGUACAUGUCCAGGUAGUCCACCUGAGGGGAUCCAGAGGACAGGCUGCGGAAGGCCACGUCACUGAACCACUUCACCUCGUUGUCCUCCUCAUCCAGCUUGCUGCCCAUGCUGGAGCUGGAGCCGUUAACUGAGACGCAUCCAGGAACGGAGCUCCCGAGCUGGGGUAUCGCAGGCUUGUAUUUGGGCUGGUACUUCUUGGUGGGUCCCGGUCCACCUCCUCUGGCUGUCUCUGGCUGGGAGCUUUGUGCAGCUCUGUGCAGUAUACAGUGUUGUUGCUGUUGUAGCUGUUGUAUCUGUUGUAGUCUGGUGGUGAGCAGGCUCUCUGAAUAGGAGCAAGCGGCUGGCAUUCCCUGUCGACUCUCUCUGCUUGUGGGAGCUGCGUUGCGGCUUGCAGGCCCUUUUCUAUUCCUGACACUGAAUGACAGGUCAACCUGUUCCCCCUUGUAACUGGCCUCCUCCUGCCUUCCCUCCCCCUUUCCAGGCACCUGCUCCUCCCCCUGUCUCUCCCUCUCCGCUUGCCACUCCCUCUCCAUUGCCCUCUCCUUUUCUUCCUCCCUGUGUCUCUGCCUUUCCUCUCUCUCCCUCUCUCUUUCCCUCUCCUCCUCCCUUUGCCACUCCCUCUCUCUUUCACCCUCCUCCUCCCUCUGCCUCUCCAUCUUUCUUUCCCUCUCCUCCUUCUCCCUUAUCUCCAUCUCUCUGUUCCUUUUUCUUUCCCUCUGCGUCUCUCUAUCCCUCUGUUGCAUCUCCCACAACAUCUCCCUCUCCUCCUCCUCCUCAUCUCUCUCCCUCUCCUCCUC
This is a long non-coding RNA of Oncorhynchus tshawytscha (Chinook salmon), 7158 nucleotides long. NCBI's taxonomy places the organism in Eukaryota, Metazoa, Chordata, Actinopteri, Salmoniformes, Salmonidae. The record is from Ensembl.